AUUGAACGCUGGCGGCGGGCCUAACACAUGCAAGUCGAGCGGAUGAAGGGAGCUUGCUCCUGGAUUCAGCGGCGGACGGGUGAGUAAUGCCUAGGAAUCUGCCUGGUAGUGGGGGAUAACGUCCGGAAACGGGCGCUAAUACCGCAUACGUCCUGAGGGAGAAAGUGGGGGAUCUUCGGACCUCACGCUAUCAGAUGAGCCUAGGUCGGAUUAGCUAGUUGGUGGCGUAAAGGCCUACCAAGGCGACGAUCCGUAACUGGUCUGAGAGGAUGAUCAGUCACACUGGAACUGGGACACGGUCCAGACUCCUACGGGAGGCAGCAGUGGGGAAUAUUGGACAAUGGGCGAAAGCCUGAUCCAGCCAUGCCGCGUGUGUGAAGAAGGUCUUCGGAUUGUAAAGCACUUUAAGUUGGGAGGAAGGGCAGUAAGUUAAUACCUUGCUGUUUUGACGUUACCAACAGAAUAAGCACCGGCUAACUUCGUG
This 484-nucleotide ribosomal RNA is filed under the name uncultured bacterium. RNAcentral describes it as "partial 16S ribosomal RNA". It matches the Rfam family "Bacterial small subunit ribosomal RNA", at positions 30 to 507 of the family's 1533-position model. The record is from RNAcentral.